Molecule: ribosomal RNA, 277 nt
Filed under: uncultured bacterium
Lineage: Bacteria
Description: partial 16S ribosomal RNA
Rfam family: Bacterial small subunit ribosomal RNA
Source: RNAcentral
CAGCCGCCGCGGUAAUACGGGGGGUGCAAGCGUUACUCGGAAUCACUGGGCGUAAAGCGCUUGUAGGUUGCUUACUGUAGUUUGUUGUUAAAAUUUAAGGCUUAACCUUAAGAAAGCAAUGGAAACUGAUAGGCUAGAGUAUGGGAUGGGUAAAGGGAAUUUCUAGUGGAGUGGUGAAAUGCGUAGAUAUUAGAAGGAACACCAGAGGCGAAGGCGCUUUACUAGAACAUUACUGACUCUCAGAGGCGAAAGCUAGGGGAGCAAAAGGGAUUAGAUA